Molecule: ribosomal RNA, 253 nt
Filed under: uncultured bacterium
Lineage: Bacteria
Description: partial 16S ribosomal RNA
Rfam family: Bacterial small subunit ribosomal RNA
Source: RNAcentral
UACGUAGGGUCCGAGCGUUGUCCGGAAUUACUGGGCGUAAAGAGCUCGUAGGCGGUCUGUCGCGUCGGCUGUGAAAACCUGAGGCUCAACCUCAGGCCUGCAGUCGAUACGGGCAGACUAGAGUUCGGUAGGGGAGACUGGAAUUCCUGGUGUAGCGGUGAAAUGCGCAGAUAUCAGGAGGAACACCGGUGGCGAAGGCGGGUCUCUGGGCCGAAACUGACGCUGAGGAGCGAAAGCGUGGGGAGCAAACAGG